Molecule: long non-coding RNA, 627 nt
Organism: Alnus glutinosa
Lineage: Eukaryota; Viridiplantae; Streptophyta; Magnoliopsida; Fagales; Betulaceae
Exons: 4
Source: RefSeq, a predicted model, not a curated record
GUUUUAGAGAGAAGGCCAAAUGGCCUUUUCUUUUCAUUUUUCGAAAAGAGGCAGGGCCUCUUCUUAUUUUUCUUAAUGAUUUUUAUAGAAAAUUUUUGAUCUACGAAGAUCCAACGGUCCGAUCUUCAAUCUGAUUUCGGUAACGUGAUCUACGAAACUCAAUCUACGUUUCUACCGAUUGGUUUGAGGAUUUGUUGUGGGGAGUUUGCUAAACACUCUCCAAGUGUUGGAUUUACAUUUGGUGGAAUUUUUGUGAUACAUUGCAAGGUGGUGUCUAGGAGACCUAGUGCUUAAAUCCGCGCAACCAAGACGUUAAUACUUUGGUUGCAGGUUUUGCAGAUAUAGAUAUUGACUCGUCCACCUAGCACAUGGGAUGCUAUGAUUGGAGCAUAUCGCGACAGUCAUAAGUCACGGACUCAUGGGUAGUCCGUAUUUUGGGUAUUUUAUUUAUGCCUCGUGUCCUACGUGGCACAUGUAUUUGUUGAGCCUGUGUUAUGGUAUGUAAUUAGUGUAAUGUGUUUUAUAAGCCUUAAAUAGAUAGACUUGUAAAUGACUCUUGUUGUAAAUAAUCGUCAUGUAUUAGAUGUAUUUUCGCUUAUGAUGUGUUCCGCUGCACAUUGAUUAUUU